AUCUGGAAGAAUCUGGAGACAGGUGCUGCAUGGCUGUCGUCAGCUCGUGUCGUGAGAUGUUGGGUUAAGUCCCGCAACGAGCGCAACCCUUGCCUUUAGUUGCCAGCAGUUCGGCUGGGCACUCUAAAGGGACUGCCGGUGUUAAACCGGAGGAAGUGGGGGAUGACGGUCAAGUCCUCAUGGCCUUUAUGACCAGGGCUACACACGUACUACAAUGGCCGAUACAAAGGGCAGCGACACUGCGAGGGUGAAGCCAAUCCCGUAAAAAUCGGUCUCAGUCCGGAUUGGAGUCUGCAACUCGACUCCAUGAAGUUGGAAUCGCUAGUAAUCGUGGAUCAGCAUGCCACGGUGAAUACGUUCCCGGGCCUU
RNAcentral lists this ribosomal RNA (369 nucleotides) under uncultured Desulfobulbus sp. RNAcentral describes it as "bacterial SSU rRNA". It matches the Rfam family "Bacterial small subunit ribosomal RNA", at positions 1014 to 1382 of the family's 1533-position model. Lineage: Bacteria; Pseudomonadati; Thermodesulfobacteriota; Desulfobulbia; Desulfobulbales; Desulfobulbaceae. The record is from RNAcentral.